RNAcentral lists this ribosomal RNA (468 nucleotides) under uncultured bacterium. RNAcentral describes it as "partial 16S ribosomal RNA". It matches the Rfam family "Bacterial small subunit ribosomal RNA", at positions 28 to 507 of the family's 1533-position model. The record is from RNAcentral.
GACGAACGCUGGCGGCGUGCUUAACACAUGCAAGUCGAACGGAAAGGCCCUGCUUUUGUGGGGUGCUCGAGUGGCGAACGGGUGAGUAAAACGUGUGUAUCCUGUCCUCGACUUUGGGAUAACUUCAGGAAACUGGGGCUCAAACAGGAUAUGAGCCCUUGCUGCACGGUGGGGGUUGGAAAGUUUGGGCGGUUGGGGAUGGAUUCGCGGCCUAUCAGCUUGUUGGUGGGGUAGUGGCUUACCAAGGCUUUGACGGGUAGCCGGCCUGAGAGGGUGACCGGCCACAUUGGGACUGAGAUACGGCCCAGACUCCUACGGGAGGCAGCAGUGGGGAAUAUUGCACAAUGGGCGGAAGCCUGAUGCAGCAACGCCGCGUGCGGGAUGACGGCCUUCGGGUUGUAAACCGCUUUCGCCUGUGACGAAGCGUGAGUGACGGUAAUGGGUAAAGAAGCACCGGCUAACUACGUG